UACGUAAGGGGCGAACGUUAUUCGGAAUCACUGGGCUUAAAGGGUGCGUAGGCGGCUCGGCAAGUUGGGUGUGAAAGCCCUCGGCUCAACCGAGGAAUUGCGCCCAAAACUGCCGGGCUAGAGGGAGACAGAGGUGAGCGGAACUUAGGGUGGAGCGGUGAAAUGCUUUGAUAUCCUAAGGAACACCGGUAGCGAAAGCGGCUCACUGGGUCUUUGCUGACGCUGAGGCACGAAAGCUAGGGGAGCGAACGGG
Molecule: ribosomal RNA, 253 nt
Filed under: uncultured bacterium
Lineage: Bacteria
Description: partial 16S ribosomal RNA
Rfam family: Bacterial small subunit ribosomal RNA
Source: RNAcentral